UCAUGCAUAUCAAUAAGCGGAGGAAAAGAAACCAACCGGGAUUGCCCUAGUAACGGCGAGUGAAGCGGCAAGAGCUCAAAUUUGAAAGCUGGCCCCCUCGGGGUCCGCAUUGUAAUUUGCAGAGGAUGCUUCGGGAACGGCCCCCAUCUAAGUGCCCUGGAACGGGCCGUCAUAGAGGGUGAGAAUCCCGUCUGGGAUGGGGUGGCCGCGCCCGUGUGAAGCUCCUUCGACGAGUCGAGUUGUUUGGGAAUGCAGCUCUAAUUGGGUGGUAAAUUUCAUCUAAAGCUAAAUAUUGGCCGGAGACCGAUAGCGCACAAGUAGAGUGAUCGAAAGAUGAAAAGCACUUUGAAAAGAGAGUUAAACAGCACGUGAAAUUGUUGAAAGGGAAGCGCUUGCGACCAGACUCGCCCGCGGGGUUCAGCCGGCACUCGUGCCGGUGUACUUCCCCGCGGGCGGGCCAGCGUCGGUUUGGGCGGCCGGUCAAAGGCCUCUGGAAGGUAACGCCUCUCGGGGCGUCUUAUAGCCAGGGGUGCCAUGCGGCCUGCCCGGACCGAGGAACGCGCUUCGGCUCGGACGCUGGCAUAAUGGUCGUAAGCGACCCGUCUUGAAACACGGACCAGC
RNAcentral lists this small RNA (621 nucleotides) under Penicillium citrinum. RNAcentral describes it as "eukaryotic LSU rRNA". It matches the Rfam family "Eukaryotic large subunit ribosomal RNA", at positions 34 to 670 of the family's 3401-position model. Lineage: Eukaryota; Fungi; Ascomycota; Eurotiomycetes; Eurotiales; Aspergillaceae. The record is from RNAcentral.